UAUGGCCAAGUGUAAGGAAUCUCACCUCCUU
This 31-nucleotide non-coding RNA is filed under the name Homo sapiens (human). The record is from RNAcentral. Lineage: Eukaryota; Metazoa; Chordata; Mammalia; Primates; Hominidae.